RNAcentral lists this ribosomal RNA (433 nucleotides) under uncultured bacterium. Its description in RNAcentral is "partial 16S ribosomal RNA". It matches the Rfam family "Bacterial small subunit ribosomal RNA", at positions 29 to 507 of the family's 1533-position model. The record is from RNAcentral.
AACGAACGCUGGCGGCAUGCCUAACACAUGCAAGUCGAACGAGACCUUCGGGUUUAGUGGCGCACGGGUGCGUAACGCGUGGGAACCUGCCCUUAGGUUCGGAAUAACUCCCCGAAAGGGGUGCUAAUACCGGAUAAUGUCUUCGGACCAAAGAUUUAUCGCCUUUGGAUGGGCCCGCGUUGGAUUAGCUAGUUGGUAGGGUAAAAGCCUACCAAGGCGACGAUCCAUAGCUGGUCUGAGAGGAUGAUCAGCCACACUGGGACUGAGACACGGCCCAGACUCCUACGGGAGGCAGCAGUGGGGAAUAUUGGACAAUGGGCGGAAGCCUGAUCCAGCAAUGCCGCGUGAGUGAUGAAGGCCUUAGGGUUGUAAAGCUCUUUUAGCCGGGAAGAUAAUGACAGUACCGGGAGAAUAAGCUCCGGCUAACUCCGUG